This is a long non-coding RNA of Mus musculus (house mouse), 3257 nucleotides long. RefSeq annotates it as predicted gene, 50587. NCBI's taxonomy places the organism in Eukaryota, Metazoa, Chordata, Mammalia, Rodentia, Muridae. The record is from RefSeq and is a predicted model, not a curated record. The transcript has 2 exons.
UUUUUUUUUUUUUUUUUUUUUUGACACAACUGAGGCCCCUUUAGCACUGAGCUAUUCUCCUAACUGUGUUCAGGAGUCUUUGAAUGAGUUCCUACAUAAAAGCACUUCUACUGCUCUUCUAAGGAACGAUUUUUACUUUGAACUUUAGUUGAAAUUAAUCUUGAAAGGCUGUCAUUCAAGGACAUGGACAUAAAGUAUUUUCUUUUUUAAUAAUAAUGCUAAUAACAUUUCUUUUUAAUAAUAUCAACACUUUCCAGCACAGGCUUUAAGAACUUUGUUUUUGACUUGGCUGCCAUGAGUGACUGUUAAUUAACAGUCCUUUUGAUUUUAAAUUAAAUCAUAAUGAAGCUGCCAGAAACACUUGAAAUUGAGAAUAGAGUUGCUCGUCACUAAAUUCAAGACAGACAGUAACUGCCAGUUUUCUGGACUCUGAUCCUAAACCAUAGACAAGUACCCACAAAACAACACAAGCACAACUAUACAUAUGUACUCAUAUCACACACACACACACACACACACACACACUCAUGGAAAUCAAACAUAUAAGUCACCUAACCACUAAAGCAGAGAAACAAGAAAAACCAAGACAUAUUCAGUAUAUUUUAUUUCCUCAACAUUGAGUAGUCUAGUUUGCAUUAAGAUUUAUUGAUUGAUUAACAGAGACAGGGUCUCAUAUAGUUCAAUCUGGCCUCAAACUUGAACUUCCUAUCCUUUUGCUUUUUCCAAGUACUAGGAUUACAGACACAUUUUAUUGUGGUCAAUGUAUAUAACAUAUGAUGACUAUUUUUCUAUUUUUGAGAUUAUAAAAUAAUUACCCCCCAACUUCCUCUCUCAAAUUCUUCCCACGGAUCUCUCCUUGUUCUCUUUGUCAGCCAUGGUGCCUUUUUUCUUUUUUUCUUUCCUUUUUUUAAAAAAAGAUUUAUUUAUUAUUAUAAAUAAGUACACUGUUAGGGCGUCAGGUUUCAUUACAGGUGGUUGUGAACCACCAUGUGGUUGCUGGGAUUUGAACUCAGGGCCUCUGGAAGAGCAGUCAGUGAUCUUAACCGCUGAGCCACCUCACAAGCCUGGUGCCUUUUUUCAUUAACUGUUAUCACACAUAUAUGUAUAUACAUAUAUUCUUUUAAAUAUACAAUCUGGUGGUCCUAACUCUAGGCCCUAUAUAAUUUAAAUUCUGCUAGUUUAUCUUUUGGUUAGAGAAUUUAAUACACUUACAUUUAAAGUAUAGCUUUUUAUUCUUCCCUUCCUGAUAUGCUGUUUCCUUUUAAGUUUAGUUUGUUAAAAAAACUUUAUCUAUUAUAAUAAUGUGUGUGUGUGUGUGUAUGUGUGUGUGUGUGUGAGUGUGUAUGAGUUUAUGUGAACCACAGACAUGCAGGAGCUCCCAAGAGGUCAGAAGAGAGCAUCAGAUUCCCUUGAACCAGAGUUAUAGAUGAUUUUGAGGCCCCAUGUGGGAGAGGUGGGAGCCAAAUCCAGUCCCCUGCAAGAAAGUGUAAAAGCAACAAGUACAACUCUUGUUCACCACAAGCCAGUGUUUACUGCUCAGCAGUUGCCUGCCAACAGUAUCUGGCCAGCACUUUAAUUCAGAGGUUCUAGACUCUGGGUCUAGGGAGGAAAAAGGCCAUUCAUCUUGCGCGUGCUCGACUGGCCAGGAAGAACGACGCUGCAACAGGAUCCUUCUGCACACGUUUAUUGGGAGAGCUUGAUUGUAGAGGCGAAAAGACCCCAAGCCCAGAACUGGUGCUGCUUACAUAGGCCUAGGAGAGGCGUGUCUCACAUCUGAUUGGUUAACUUGUCUUGGCAAAAGAACCUUCACUGCCUAUGUAUGUGUGGUGGCCAGCAGUAGCCAACUGCCACUCUGCAACUGCCACUCUGCAACUGCCACUCUGCAACUGCCACUCUGCAACUGCCACUCUGCAACGACUUCCCACACAUUCAUUGGACACUUUGCUCUCCUCUGCAUGGAAGCCUGAGGGUCAGACUGUAGCAGGUAACAUGUGGAGCUGGGUACAGGGACAAAUGACAUGUCUAUUCUGAGAGAACAUGCUUGCUUACAUUCUCUGUGCUGGCUAAAUCACUGAAGUGCUUUCUUAAAACUUUUAAAGGGGUAUUUGAAAGUCACGAGUUUAGAUGAACAUUCAACUAGUUCAAGAAUUCCUUAUUUGAAUGCCUUAAUAGAUACUGGCCCAGAAUCUGUGCGUGACAUUAUAUAUGUUUAUGUGCAUGUGUUAUAUGGAUGUACACAUGUGGAGGCCAGACAUCAAUGUUGAGUAUUGUUCUUUUUUUUUUUUUUUAAGAUUUAUUUAUUAUUAUAUGUAAGUACACUGUAGCUGUCUUCAGACACUCCAGAAGAGGGAGUCAGAUCUUGUUACGGAUGGUUGUGAGCCACCAUGUGGUUGCUGGGAUUUGAACUCUGGACCUUCAGAAGAGCAGUCGGGUGCUCUUACCCACUGAGCCAUCUCACCAGCCCUGAGUAUUGUUCUUAAUUUAUCUCUACACUAUUACAUUUUUAAAAAGAUUUAUUUAUUUAUUUUUAUUUAUAUGAGUACACUGUAGCUGUCUGUCUUCAGACACACCAGAAGAGGGCACCAGAUACUAUUACAGAUGGUUGUGAGCUACCGUAUAGUUGCUGGGAAUUAAACUCAGGAUCUCUGAAGAGCAGUCAGUGCUCUGACUGCUAAACCAUCCUUCCACCUCUAUUCAUAUGACUCCAAAAAAGAUUAAAACCCAAAAUUAUGUGUUGUUUUUUGUCUGUUUGUUUUUUGUUUUGAUCCUUCUUUUCCUAAUCAAAUCUCUGCUUAUUCUCCUGGAAUUUGAACAUUCAUGUGUCAAUUUCUCUACCAUUAAUUUGUCUUAUUUAAUGCUACAUGAAAACUUCAAAAUUAACAUCUGCAUUGUGGCAUUCCUUUUGCUAUUUAAUGUUUCAUGACUGUGGGAACUUCACAGUAGGUUCAGAGUUUUCGUUGUUACGUGCUACAGGUACACAAAAAUACAACUGUGGACACAAAGAUGUUCAUUGUCUUCAAUUUAAUACCCAUGUAGACUCAAAUUUCAAGGGUGCAUUUCACACUGUGCCUGGAACUGAGUGACACACGACAACUGAGAGCUGUCCUACUGUCUUACCUCUGCUUUACGGAUACUUUCUCUUGCUUCAUCUAUUUUCUGUUCCAGCUCUGCUCGGCUCUGUUCUGAUAGAGCAACUCCAUGACAUUCUAGUUCAUUUAGAACCUGUCAAAGAAAAUAAAGUUUUUUGUUCUCAUUUC